RNAcentral lists this ribosomal RNA (465 nucleotides) under uncultured bacterium. RNAcentral describes it as "partial 16S ribosomal RNA". It matches the Rfam family "Bacterial small subunit ribosomal RNA", at positions 338 to 795 of the family's 1533-position model. The record is from RNAcentral.
CCUACGGGUGGCAGCAGUGGGGAAUAUUGCGCAAUGGGCGAAAGCCUGACGCAGCGACGCCGCGUGAGGGAUGAAGGUCUUCGGAUCGUAAACCUCUGUCAGCAGGGAAGAAAGGUCACUGUGCUAAUCAGCAGUGCAUUGACGGUACCUGCAAAGGAAGCACCGGCUAACCCCGUGCCAGCAGCCGCGGUAAUACGGAGGGUGCGAGCGUUAAUCGGAAUUACUGGGCGUAAAGCGCUCGUAGGCGGUAUGUCAAGUCAAGGGUGAAAUCCCAGCGCUCAACGAGGGAACUGCCUUUGAAACUGGCAAACUGGAGUGUGUGAGAGGAUAGUGGAAUUCCAGGUGUAGGAGUGAAAUGCGUAGAUAUCUGGAGGAACAUCAGUGGCGAAGGCGACUAACUGGCACAUAACUGACGCUGAGGAGCGAAAGCGUGGGUAGCAAACAGGAUUAGAUACCCGAGUAGUC